CAGUCGCCGCGGGAAUACAGAGGGUGCAAGCGUUAAUCGGAAUUACUGGGCGUAAAGCGCGCGUAGGUGGUUUGUUAAGUUGGAUGUGAAAUCCCCGGGCUCAACAUGGGAACUGCAUCCAAAACUGGCAAGCUAGAGUAUGGUAGAGGGUGGUGGAAUUUCCUGUGUAGCGGUGAAAUGCGUAGAUAUAGGAAGGAACACCAGUGGCGAAGGCGACCACCUGGACUGAUACUGACACUGAGGUGCGAAAGCGUGGGGAGCAAACAGGAUUAGAUACCCCCGUAGUCCCUGUCUCUUAUAC
Molecule: ribosomal RNA, 301 nt
Filed under: uncultured bacterium
Lineage: Bacteria
Description: partial 16S ribosomal RNA
Rfam family: Bacterial small subunit ribosomal RNA
Source: RNAcentral